GCAGCCAUAGCCGCCAUUUGCUCUCCUGCUUCUUUUCGUUUCAUGAUUUUUAUUAUUUCACUACCCCAUUACCCAUUACUAUAUAUUCAUUUUAGAUAAAAUCAUUUUAUUAUUGCUAGUACUGGACAAUCACCAGAGAUAUUAGAAGGGACAGGGACUUCAAAAAGCCCUCCAUUAAUUUAAUUUAAUGCAAAAAAAAAAAGCAAAUGAGAGAGAACAUUUUUAUUUAUUAAAAAAAAAGGGAGACAUGAAGCAGAUCAGGUAUUUAUAAGCACUUGUACCUCUGCAAUGAUGCACUACUCACUUGCCUAAAGAAAGCGAACUACUGCAGCAAGUGGAAGAAGAAGAAAGAAUAAGAGGAAACAGAAGAGAAAAAGAAGCUUAUUAACGUUUACAAUCCCCUUCUGGGUUUCCCCCCCCUUUUCUCCAGGGUGUCUCCUAUGAGUUGUUAGAAUACGGAUAAGCUGUUCAAAAAUCAAAUUCCUGCAUUUUUUUUUCUUUCCUAUUUUUCCUCUCUUCAUGGUUUGACUAAUUUCGAAGUCCUAGCUUAGCCCCUGUUCUUUCUAUUUCCUUGCUUAUUUCACGCGUUGUCGUUGUUCUUCUUCUUCUUAUUAUUAUUAUUAUAAUAUAGUUUCAACAAGUCUCUCAGCCCUCCCCCUCCUUGUAUCUCUAUAUAUACACAAAAACCCUGAUCCUCUGCGUACCAAAGAAACGAAGAAGCUUGGCUAUAGGGUUUGUUUUGAUUGGUUUAGUUUGGUAUUAUUAGCAGGGCAGAGGAGAGAAUGAUAGUUGUGAGAGAGUUUGAUCCGAGCAGAGAUCGAGUGGGUGUUGAAGAAGUGGAGAGAAGAUGUGAGGUUGGUCCCAGUGGGAAGCUCUCUCUCUUCACCGACCUCUUGGGUGACCCAAUUUGCAGGGUCCGCCACUCCCCUGCUUUCCUCAUGCUGGUGGCUGAGUUGGGUGAGGAGAUAGUGGGUAUGAUAAGAGGUUGCAUCAAAACCGUUACCUGUGGCAAAAAGCUUUCUAGACACGUCAAAAUCGCCGCCACCUCCACCACCGCCACCACCAAUAACAAUGACCCUCCAAAACCUCUCCCUGUCUACACUAAACUCGCUUACAUCUUAGGCCUGCGCGUUUCUCCUUCCCAUCGGAGAAUGGGAAUAGGCUUAAAACUGGUGCGCACCAUGGAGGACUGGUUUCGUGAAAACGGCGCUGAAUAUUCCUACUUGGCAACUGAAAACGACAACGACGCUUCCGUUAAGCUGUUCACCGACAAAUGCGGUUACUCAAAGUUCCGUACGCCUUCAAUUCUCGUUAACCCGGUCUUUGCUCACAGACUUGCCGUUUCCAAAAGAAUCACCAUCUUCCAACUCGCCCCUCACGAUGCGGAAUUGCUCUAUCGUCGCCGUUUUUCCACCAUAGAAUUCUUCCCCCGCGACAUUGACUCGGUGCUCAAUAACAAACUCAGCUUGGGCACCUUCUUGGCCGUGCCACGUGGCAAAUAUAAAUCAGAUUCCUGGCCCGGGUUUGAUAAGUUUUUGUCCGACCCACCUGAGUCUUGGGCCGUGCUAAGCGUGUGGAACUGUAAGGACGUGUUUAGACUGGAAGUCCGUGGAUUGUCGCUCGUAAAGCGCGCGUUUGCUAAAACGACGAGAAUGGUUGACAAGGCGUUGCCGUUUCUGAGGUUGCCAUCGGUGCCCGAGGUGUUCAGGCCGUUUGGGUUGCAUUUUUUGUAUGGUCUUGGAGGUAAAGGCCCACGCGCGGUGAAAAUGGUAAAGGCGCUUUGUGCGCACGCGCAUAACCUGGCGAAGGAGCGUGGUUGUGGUGUGGUGGCUACGGAGGUGUCGAGUCGCGAACCACUUAAGUUAGGAAUUCCACACUGGAAAAUGCUAUCGUGCGCUGAGGACUUAUGGUGCAUCAAGAGGCUAGGGGAAGACUACAGUGACGGGUUCAUCGGUGACUGGACCAAAUCACCCCCUGGCGUGGCCAUUUUUGUGGACCCUAGAGAGUUCUAGACUUGUAAAAGUCAUAUCAAAGAAGAAAAUAUAAAAAAGCUAAAUUAAUAGAGGUACAACACAAAGGCAAAAUAAAAAAAAGCCUUUUUUUUAUAUUAUUUCUUCUUUAUUUUUGUGUUUUUAUUAGGGGUUUUAAUGUGGAGGAUUUUGGCCUUGGGGGAUUGAAAAAGAGGGAAUUAGAAGCUAUGGGUGUUUGUUGUAGGGAGGAAUAUCCCCACUUUUGUUUACUUGUCAACUUUUUGUAAAUGGAUUUGGCUUUUUAGAUCCUCAAGAAGCCAAACGGAGCCUUAGUUUGAUAUGUGAAUGGUUUAUCUACCUUCUUUACUUAAUAUUCCAAAAUAAGUUGAGAUAGAGAUGGUAAGGUGAAAUUGGAAUAUCCUCCUCACCCCUGAACACAAUUGUGUUCCAUGCAGUAACUUCUCUUUUUAUUUCUUCCAUUCAAGAAUAAGACUCCUUUUG
RNAcentral lists this unclassified non-coding RNA (2471 nucleotides) under Hevea brasiliensis (rubber tree). Lineage: Eukaryota; Viridiplantae; Streptophyta; Magnoliopsida; Malpighiales; Euphorbiaceae. The record is from RNAcentral.